CUAAACCUGUCGCUAUCAAUCUACAAGGAGAGGAGAAAUAAUGGAAUGAACUAUACAACCCAGUAAGCAGGUCUAGUGUUAUGCAUCUAUCGUGAUUCUAUCUUGUGUGAUAAUAUUUCAAUCCAUCAAUAUGAAGUCAAAGUUUGACAUAUGUGAAUAUCAAGUCAAGACAUCGAGUGUGAACAUUUCAUUUAAACGACAGUUAUCAUUUAAAUUAAUGAGAUCACAAGCAUUCGAUCAGUAAAUUCAUUAAUUAUUCAAUCAUUACGAUACCAAGCAUUCCUUAUACAAAAAAUUCAAAUAUUAC
RNAcentral lists this long non-coding RNA (307 nucleotides) under Amborella trichopoda. RNAcentral's name for it is "long non-coding RNA (ATRI_LNC004789)". Lineage: Eukaryota; Viridiplantae; Streptophyta; Magnoliopsida; Amborellales; Amborellaceae. The record is from RNAcentral.